GAUGAACGCUGGCGGCGUGCCUAAUACAUGCAAGUCGAGCGAACGGACGAGAAGCUUGCUUCUCUGAUGUUAGCGGCGGACGGGUGAGUAACACGUGGAUAACCUACCUAUAAGACUGGGAUAACUUCGGGAAACCGGAGCUAAUACCGGAUAAUAUUUUGAACCGCAUGGUUCACAAGUGAAAGACGGUCUUGCUGUCACUUCUAGAUGGAUCCGCGCUGCAUUAGCUAGUUGGUAAGGUAACGGCUUACCAAGGCAACGAUGCAUAGCCGACCUGAGAGGGUGAUCGGCCACACUGGAACUGAGACACGGUCCAGACUCCUACGGGAGGCAGCAGUAGGGAAUCUUCCGCAAUGGGCGAAAGCCUGACGGAGCAACGCCGCGUGAGUGAUGAAGGUCUUCGGAUCGUAAAACUCUGUUAUUAGGGAAGAACAUAUGUGUAAGUAACUGUGCACAUCUUGACGGUACCUAAUCAGAAAGCCACGGCUAACUACGUG
This 497-nucleotide ribosomal RNA is filed under the name uncultured bacterium. Its description in RNAcentral is "partial 16S ribosomal RNA". It matches the Rfam family "Bacterial small subunit ribosomal RNA", at positions 28 to 507 of the family's 1533-position model. The record is from RNAcentral.